GGCGUGUUGUGUAUGUAACAAAUUGAGGGAUGCCACGAAUAACUAACACAGUCCGUAUAUAGCGGUGCAGAAUAAAAGGAAGGGGUGCAUGAGAGGUGGGCUCAGAUGUGGCAUGUGGAACCCAUAUAGAUCCAAAAACACAAAUCGACAGGGGUGCGAAGAUCGAAAGCGGGGUGCGCAGAGCAAAAGCGUCUCAGCCCAUCUUCUUUCAAAAAAGAACCCUAAAACCUAAAUUCUCUUCACGCAUCUUUCUUUUCCCAACCAUCAUCUUCAACGCAGCACAACAACCCCUAGCCUUGGGUCACGCACCUGCUCAACGCCGGCGACGACGGCGGCCACCGUCGACGGACAUGCCAGCACUCGUUUCGCGAGUGCUCCUUCGUUCUCGUCUUCUUCAAUGCGCGAGCCACCACUGUAGCCUCAAGGUCACGACGUGCAUGCUUCCCGGUCCGUCAGAGCCGCCGGCGACGGUGCUAAUCGCUACCAGAAGCGUCGCCGGCCUCCGCGGUGCUCCAACUUAUCGAACCUCUUCUCGCGCCCCCAACACCCAGCCGGUAUGAGAUGAAGGUGAAAGUACCGGAAGGUUAGCUAGUGAUGGAGGAAUCGGCGAGGAGAUGAAUCUGUUGAGAGGGAUUGAAUUUGUGAUUUAGUUUCUGUUUGUGUUUGCAGAAAACGUGAUGUGUAUGUGCGGUGAUGGAGGAGUUGGCGGUGAUGAAUGAUGGUGAAACAGAGAGGAUAAUGGGCGGUGGAUGAAACUGGUUUGGGUUUUAUGUGUAUAUGAUGUUGAUGGUGGCGACAGAGAUCGUGGGUGAGGAGUUUGGUUCUGUUUUCUUUUUUUUUAUGCUUUGAGCAGGAAUUGAAUAACACACUUACAGAUAUAAAAGGGACAAUGGUGUGGAGACAUUGGAGGGGAGUAAACAAGAUGGUUCGUUUUCACAUAUCACUCUGAGGCUCUAGCACAUUUUCAUAAUGAACAAACCAAAAUACCAAAGUAUUCAAGUAUGGACGCUUACCCGUUGUAGCCUCCUUGCCUUGUUUUGGCUUCCUCCUUCACUCGAUGGUUCCUUUGCUGUCCCCGAUCACCGUUGCUCUCCUUUUCUUCUCCCCUCUUUUUUUUUUUUUCUCCUCCCUUUUUGCCUUUUAUUGUGUUAUCAAGUGUAUUCUCAAAGUCUGCUGCCCGUGCUAGGAAGAUGUCCUCUUUUCAAACGGCUCUCCUCCCCUUUUUAUCUAAUUUCGCAUUUUAUAAAUCUUCUGUUUGAAUUUUUGCCAAUGAUCAAAAAGCAUGAGCUAGGUUAUCUUCCAGUCA
This is a long non-coding RNA of Vigna unguiculata (cowpea), 1306 nucleotides long. RefSeq lists it as uncharacterized. NCBI's taxonomy places the organism in Eukaryota, Viridiplantae, Streptophyta, Magnoliopsida, Fabales, Fabaceae. The record is from RefSeq and is a predicted model, not a curated record.